AUACUUACAAAUCCCCAAAAGAUCUCUUCCUUUCGUGUGAAAAUUUUACUCUAUUUUCAGAAAAUUUUAUAUCUUCUUCUCUUUUCUCACGCCUCCUAUCCCCACCCGAUCGUCAUCCUUUCACUUUAGAGCAAAAAUACAAAAACUCUUGGACCUUUUCAGACCAUCCCUCACCAUUUUUAUGCAGAAUACGGCCACUAUACGACUGCCAGCGUAAGAAGAGUCAUAUUAACGUUCAAAAUUUUAAAAUUCAAACUAACCGUCCUAAUUUGAAAUUGGAGAAUCCCCACAAUAUAAGGGGGUUCCAUAAGCAAAAGUGACCAGGCUAGUUUUAACCCAAAAAUGAGUCAAGGGGACGAAAAUAAGAGGAUCCGCAUCUUGGGCAUGGUAGAUAUCUCUCUGUCCGAGCAAAUACAGAUGGUGAAAUUCUGGUUGAAGCUUGUGCUCCUCUUACGGUCAUCGAUGGCGAAAGUCUGAUUGAAGCUAUAGUUGUGGACAACCAUGUCUUUCGCACUCGAACAUCACGAGAGGGGCAUAAGUUCCACUCUCAGAAUACGUUAUGCACUUUCCGAGCCAGGAAUCAGCUACAUACUUCUUACUCUCUUAUUUGCAUUGUAAGUAUUUAUGUGAAAUAGUCAGAAACCAAAAACACUCUCAUUAUUUUUCUUUUACCUCCACUCCUGUAGGUGCACUGUUCUGCUAUAAUCUAGCUUAAUUUUGAACAACUGUCAUUCUUUUUAUGUUUAAUUUUGAAUUUUUAAUAAUCUAGCUUAAGAUCUCAC
RNAcentral lists this long non-coding RNA (782 nucleotides) under Nicotiana benthamiana. RNAcentral describes it as "long non-coding RNA (NBEN_LNC018571)". Lineage: Eukaryota; Viridiplantae; Streptophyta; Magnoliopsida; Solanales; Solanaceae. The record is from RNAcentral.